This is a small nuclear RNA of Callorhinus ursinus (northern fur seal), 105 nucleotides long. Lineage: Eukaryota; Metazoa; Chordata; Mammalia; Carnivora; Otariidae. The record is from RefSeq and is a predicted model, not a curated record.
GUGCUCGCUACAGCAGCACAUAUACUAAAACUGGAACAAGACAGAAGAUUAGCAUGGCCCCUGUGCAAGGAUGACACACAAAUUCAUGAAGUAUUCCAUAUUAAA